CAGUCGCCGCGGUAAUACGAAGGGUGCAAGCGUUACUCGGAAUUACUGGGCGUAAAGCGUGCGUAGGUGGUGGUUUAAGUCCGUUGUGAAAGCCCUGGGCUCAACCUGGGAAUUGCAGUGGAUACUGGGUCACUAGAGUGUGGUAGAGGAUAGUGGAAUUCCCGGUGUAGCGGUGAAAUGCGUAGAGAUCGGGAGGAACAUCAGUGGCGAAGGCGGCCAUCUGGGACAACACUGACGCUGAGGCACGAAAGCGUGGGGAGCAAACAGGAUUAGAUACCCCCGUAGUCCCUGUCUCUUAUAC
RNAcentral lists this ribosomal RNA (301 nucleotides) under uncultured bacterium. RNAcentral describes it as "partial 16S ribosomal RNA". It matches the Rfam family "Bacterial small subunit ribosomal RNA", at positions 509 to 807 of the family's 1533-position model. The record is from RNAcentral.